Oryza sativa Japonica Group (Japanese rice) is the source of this 110-nucleotide microRNA precursor. It matches the Rfam family "MIR1428 microRNA precursor family". The record is from Rfam. NCBI's taxonomy places the organism in Eukaryota, Viridiplantae, Streptophyta, Magnoliopsida, Poales, Poaceae.
GCGCUUGGCGAAUUCACAGGCCCUAUCUUGUGGUAUGAACUGGGUACGCGAUGAUUUGCACUGCGUAUUGGGGGCUUACCAUAAGAUAAUGCCAUGAAUUUGUCAAGCGU